RNAcentral lists this small RNA (1109 nucleotides) under Pan troglodytes (chimpanzee). RNAcentral's name for it is "processed transcript". Lineage: Eukaryota; Metazoa; Chordata; Mammalia; Primates; Hominidae. The record is from RNAcentral.
UUUCUUUACCUGCCUAGGCCUUCUGAAGCAGCAUUUGUAGCCGCAGUCUUGAAAACCAUGCAGGCUGGAAGAGUAGCUAAAGAAAUGUUUAUUUGAGAUGGCACAUGUUUCUUCAGAAACUCAAGAUGUUUCUCCCAAAGAUUAGUUAACUGGUUCAGAAGCCUCCAGUAGGUCUCCGUUGCAACAGAAUUUUCAAAGAUCUGCCUUUCUAGCCACCUUUCUGGCAGAAGAGAAAGAAUCCGAUGCCUUAAGCAAACUUCAUGUCUUUCUGUUUCACCACAGUCCAGUUGGAGCAACAUCUGGACAACUCCACUUUCAGCUGUGCCCUUUCCUAUCUUGUAAUUUGGGCCCCAUUUUAGAGAUUCCCAGUUGUUGUGCUGAAAUGGCUUACACUGGGGAUCCACCUGCACAAUUGUUCAGAAGGAGCAUUCACUGUGGAUUUGGAACAUCACGGACGUUCUUCAUCUUGGGUCAUCACUUGAGUAAUGAAGUAGAUGGAGCAAAUGUACUUUCCCCCUUACAUAAAUACAAUUAAUAGCACCACAUAAUGUAUAUAAAGCAAACAUAAGACUGAAGGAUGGAGCAAGAAGAUAAACGGAUUGAAGCAUGUCUUUAGGGAGCCUUCCUGAACCACCUUUCUUGAGCUCUGAUUACCUGGGGGAAAGGGAAGAAUUUUGAAAUUAGAUAUGUUUCACCAAAACUAAUUUUUCUACAUCUUCAACUUAUAAAAACUGGUACUUAUGUUGAAACUUACCUUUAAAAGGUGAGUCAAAUUCGUCAUUGUCCUUAAAAUUUAGCUUGUUGACAACUGAAAAUUCACUUUUGUCUUGAAGUUCCCUCUGUCUGUGGUAAAGGCUAGAUUGGAAAAAUAAAAUUCAUGAAUAUGAAGUUCUAAUAAUGGAAUACCCAAGAGCAUCAGGUGGCAAAAAGCCUUCUGUUACUCAAGAAAAUGCUCUGAAAAAUUUCUUUUCUCUUUUUUUUGUAAAGAUUACUCCACCUCACCACCAUCAUGAGGCACUGUUCUCAGCAAUUAAUACCUGCUUACUCAGUUACUCACUGUAACUAUGUUAUGCUGUGAAGUGGGUACUACAGUUGUUAAGGAAGAAUAA